GACGAACGCUGGCGGCGUGCUUAACACAUGCAAGUCGAACGGGUCUGCCCUGUUUUUUGCGGGGUGGGUCAGUGGCGAACGGGUGAGUAACACGUGAGUAACCUGCCCCUCACUUCUGGAUAACCGCUUGAAAGGGUGGCUAAUACGGGGUGUUCUGGCUGUGCCGCAUGGUGUGGCUGGGAAAGAUUCACCUUUGUGGUGUUUUGGUGGGGGAUGGGCUCGCGGCCUGUCAGCUUGUUGGUGGGGUGAUGGCCUGCCAAGGCUUUGACGGGUAGCCGGCCUGGGAGGGUGGGCGGUCACACUGGGACUGAGAUACGGCCCAGACUCCUGCGGGAGGCAGCAGUGGGGGGUAUUGCACAAUGGGCGGAAGCCUGAUGCAGCGACGUCGCGUGAGGGAUGGAGGCCUUCGGGUUGUGAACCUCUUUCGCCGGUGAAGAAGGUCCUGCUCUUUGUGGUGGGGUUGACGGUAGCCGGGUUAUGAAGCGCCGGCUAACUACGUG
Molecule: ribosomal RNA, 500 nt
Filed under: uncultured bacterium
Lineage: Bacteria
Description: partial 16S ribosomal RNA
Rfam family: Bacterial small subunit ribosomal RNA
Source: RNAcentral